RNAcentral lists this ribosomal RNA (404 nucleotides) under uncultured bacterium. RNAcentral's name for it is "bacterial SSU rRNA". It matches the Rfam family "Bacterial small subunit ribosomal RNA", at positions 355 to 776 of the family's 1533-position model. The record is from RNAcentral.
UGAGGAAUAUUGGGCAAUGGAGGCAACUCUGACCCAGCCAUGCCGCGUGAGUGAAGAAGGUUUUCGGAUUGUAAAGCUCUUUCGGAUGUGACGAUGAUGACGGUAGCAUCUAAAGAAGCCCCGGCUAACUUCGUGCCAGCAGCCGCGGUAAUACGAAGGGGGCAAGCGUUGUUCGGAAUUACUGGGCGUAAAGGGAGUGUAGGCGGUUUGGUAAGAUAGUGGUGAAAUCCCAGAGCUUAACUUUGGAAUUGCCAUUAUAACUAUUAGACUAGAAUUACAGAGAGGAUAGUGGAAUACCCAGUGUAGAGGUGAAAUUCGUAGAUAUUGGGUAGAACACCAGUGGCGAAGGCGACUAUCUGGCUGUAAAUUGACGCUGAGGCUCGAAAGCAUGGGGAUCAAACAGG